UAAGCGGAGGAAAAGAAACCAACAGGGAUUGCCUCAGUAACGGCGAGUGAAGCGGCAAAAGCUCAAAUUUGAAAUCCUUCGGGAGUUGUAAUUUGUAGGUUGGGAGACCCCGCGGCUAGUGGCACCAAGUCCCUUGGAACAGGGCGCCUUAGAGGGUGAGAGCCCCGUAGGUACCACAAUACCGUCUUGUGUCUCCUCUCCAAAGAGUCGAGUUGUUUGGGAAUGCAGCUCAAAGUGGGUGGUAAAUUCCAUCUAAAGCUAAAUACCGGCGAGAGACCGAUAGCGAACAAGUACAGUGAUGGAAAGAUGAAAAGCACUUUGAAAAGAGAGUGAAACAGUACGUGAAAUUGUUGAAAGGGAAGGGCUUGCAAGCAGACACGGCCUUCGUGCCGGGCCAGCAUCGGUUGCUAGGGGUGGAUAAGGAACAAGGAAUGUAGCUCCUCGGAGUAUUAUAGCCUUGCGCGAUACACCCACUGGCGACCGAGGCCUGCGGUAUUCUUUACCUAGGAUGCUGGCGUAAUGGUUGCAAGCCGCCCGUCUUGAA
RNAcentral lists this ribosomal RNA (544 nucleotides) under Sungouiella intermedia. Its description in RNAcentral is "eukaryotic LSU rRNA". It matches the Rfam family "Eukaryotic large subunit ribosomal RNA", at positions 47 to 658 of the family's 3401-position model. The record is from RNAcentral. Lineage: Eukaryota; Fungi; Ascomycota; Pichiomycetes; Serinales; Metschnikowiaceae.